GGGGGGGGGGGGGGGGGGGGGGGGCGGGGGCGGGGCGAGCGGAAGGGGCCGGCGGGGGGGGGGGGCUCGAGGGGCGAACGGGGGAGUAACACGUGAGUAACCUGCCCUUGACUGUGGGAUAACUUCAGGAAACGGGGGCUAAUACCGGAGAGGAGCUCCUGCUGCAUGGUGGGGGUUGGAAAGUUUCGGCGGUUGGGGAUGGACUCGCGGCUUAUCAGCUUGUUGGUGGGGUAGUGGCUUACCAAGGCUUUGACGGGUAGCCGGCCUGAGAGGGUGCCCGGCCACAUUGGGACUGAGAUACGGCCCAGACUCCUACGGGAGGCAGCAGUGGGGAAUAUUGCACAAUGGGCGGAAGCCUGAUGCAGCAACGCCGCGUGCGGGAUGACGGCCUUCGGGUUGUAAACCGCUUUCGCCUGUGACGAAGCGUGAGUGACGGUAAUGGGUAAAGAAGCACCGGCUAACUACGUG
Molecule: ribosomal RNA, 468 nt
Filed under: uncultured bacterium
Lineage: Bacteria
Description: partial 16S ribosomal RNA
Rfam family: Bacterial small subunit ribosomal RNA
Source: RNAcentral